ACCUACAAUAAUAGAAUGAUAAAUUCAAAGCCUGAUCUCGCCAGAUCUCAGAAGUGAAGCAAGGCUGGGCUCGGUCAGUAAUUGGAUGAGAGACCUCGGGGAAUAUCAGGUGCCACAGUGGGGC
RNAcentral lists this ribosomal RNA (124 nucleotides) under Periophthalmus magnuspinnatus. The record is from RNAcentral. Lineage: Eukaryota; Metazoa; Chordata; Actinopteri; Gobiiformes; Gobiidae.